This 532-nucleotide ribosomal RNA is filed under the name Fusarium sp. RNAcentral describes it as "partial large subunit ribosomal RNA". It matches the Rfam family "Eukaryotic large subunit ribosomal RNA", at positions 96 to 651 of the family's 3401-position model. The record is from RNAcentral. Lineage: Eukaryota; Fungi; Ascomycota; Sordariomycetes; Hypocreales; Nectriaceae.
AAGCGGCAACAGCUCAAAUUUGAAAUCUGGCUCUCGGGCCCGAGUUGUAAUUUGUAGAGGAUGCUUUUGAUGCGGUGCCUUCCGAGUUCCCUGGAACGGGACGCCAUAGAGGGUGAGAGCCCCGUCUGGUUGGAUGCCAAAUCUCUGUAAAGCUCCUUCAACGAGUCGAGUAGUUUGGGAAUGCUGCUCUAAAUGGGAGGUAUAUGUCUUCUAAAGCUAAAUACCGGCCAGAGACCGAUAGCGCACAAGUAGAGUGAUCGAAAGAUGAAAAGCACUUUGAAAAGAGAGUUAAAAAGUACGUGAAAUUGUUGAAAGGGAAGCGUUUAUGACCAGACUUGGGCUUGGUUAAUCAUCUGGGGUUCUCCCCAGUGCACUUUUCCAGUCCAGGCCAGCAUCAGUUUUCCCCGGGGGAUAAAGGCGUCGGGAAUGUGGCUCUCUUCGGGGAGUGUUAUAGCCCGUCGUGUAAUACCCUGGGGGGGACUGAGGUUCGCGCAUCUGCAAGGAUGCUGGCGUAAUGGUCAUCAACGACCCG